CCUACGGGCGGCUGCAGUGGGGAAUAUUGGACAAUGGGGGGAACCCUGAUCCAGCCAUGCCGCGUGUGUGGAGAAGGCCCUCGGGUUGUAAAGCACUUUCAGUGAGGAAGAACGCCUGGUGGUUAAUACCCAUCAGGAAAGACAUCACUCACAGAAGAAGCACCGGCUAACUCCGUGCCAGCAGCCGCGGUAAUACGGAGGGUGCGAGCGUUAAUCGGAAUUACUGGGCGUAAAGCGCGCGUAGGUGGCCUGAUAAGCCGGUUGUGAAAGCCCCGGGCUCAACCUGGGAACGGCAUCCGGAACUGUCAAGCUAGAGUGCAGGAGAGGAAGGUAGAAUUCCCGGUGUAGCGGUGAAAUGCGUAGAGAUCGGGAGGAAUACCAGUGGCGAAGGCGGCCUUCUGGACUGACACUGACACUGAGGUGCGAAAGCGUGGGUAGCAAACAGGAUUAGAUACCCCGGUAGUC
RNAcentral lists this ribosomal RNA (465 nucleotides) under Vreelandella stevensii. RNAcentral's name for it is "partial 16S ribosomal RNA". It matches the Rfam family "Bacterial small subunit ribosomal RNA", at positions 338 to 795 of the family's 1533-position model. The record is from RNAcentral. Lineage: Bacteria; Pseudomonadati; Pseudomonadota; Gammaproteobacteria; Oceanospirillales; Halomonadaceae.